RNAcentral lists this ribosomal RNA (486 nucleotides) under uncultured Rhizophagus. RNAcentral's name for it is "SSU rRNA". It matches the Rfam family "Eukaryotic small subunit ribosomal RNA", at positions 562 to 1052 of the family's 1831-position model. Lineage: Eukaryota; Fungi; Glomeromycota; Glomeromycetes; Glomerales; Glomeraceae. The record is from RNAcentral.
UGGUGCCAGCAGCCGCGGUAAUUCCAGCUCCAAUAGCGUAUAUUAAAGUUGUUGCAGUUAAAAAGCUCGUAGUUGAAUUUCGGGGUUAGUAGGUUGGUCAUGCCUCUGGUAUGUACUGGUCUCACUGAUUCCUCCUUCCUUAUGAACCGUAAUGCCAUUAAUUUGGUGUUGCGGGGAAUUUGGACUGUUACUUUGAAAAAAUUAGAGUGUUUAAAGCAAGCUAACGCUUGAAUACAUUAGCAUGGAAUAAUGAAAUAGGACGUUCGAUCUUAUUUUGUUGGUUUCUAGGAUUGACGUAAUGAUUGAUAGGGAUAGUUGGGGGCAUUAGUAUUCAAUUGUCAGAGGUGAAAUUCUUGGAUUUAUUGAAGACUAACUACUGCGAAAGCAUUUGCCAAGGAUGUUUUCAUUAAUCAAGAACGAAAGUUAGGGGAUCGAAGACGAUCAGAUACCGUCGUAGUCUUAACCAUAAACUAUGCCGACUAGGGA